AUAAAGAUAAUUAUGAGAAAAUAUGGAAUGAAAUUAAAAGAAAUCUAGAAAUCUGGGGAAGGAUGAAUUUUCCUGUUAAGGAAAAUUGCAGCAAUAAAGAUGAGUGCUUUGCCAAAGAUACUAUUUCUAUUUCAGAUGAUCCCGGUGAUAUAUAAUAAUAUAUCCUUCAAAAAUAUAUUUCAAAAUUUAUCUGGAAUGGGAAAAGACCACGGAUAAGACAUAAGAUACUAACAGACUUAAGAGAUAGAGGAGGCUUUUCUCCUCCAUAUGUGAAAUUGUAUUUUGAAGCAGCAUGUCUUGUUUGGAUACGGGAUUGGAUAAAAUUGGAAAAAGAAGAAGAGUUAGAACUAGAAGGACACGACAAUAGAUUUGGCUGGUACUCAUAUUUAUGGUAUGGGAAAGGGAAAACACAUAAAGGCUUUUCAAACCGUAUAAUAAGAAAGUCAUUAAUAAGAGUGUGGGAAAAUACAAAGAUCUGUUAGAGUGGAAAAUACCAUGAGAGUUGUUAACAGAAGAAGAAGGUAAACUCAAACUAAAAGAGUAUGAUGAGCUGAAAGACUAUUUACAAAGUUGGUUACACCAUAGGCAAUUAAAUGAAAUUUUUAAGGAAGACAAUAAAAAGGGGUUUAGUUAUACAAUCUCCAGAUUUCAAAAAGAAAUAGUGGAAGAGAACAUUAAAUUGUUUUAAAAAUGAUAUAGUAUUUUAUUAGAGUGAGAAACCAAAGAUGAGGAGGUUAAAUCAGUUAUCAUUAAAUGGGCUCAGGAUGUGGGACACAACAUCCAAUUUGAAGUUGGGGGAAAUUAUGGAAAGUUGAUAUAAAAUUCACAGAUUGCAUGCUAUUAAGAGAGAAUUACAUGAAAAUGAUGUAUAGAAGGUAUAUCACACCAGUGAAAAUGGCAAAGAUGUUUAGGAAAGAAAAUAACAAAUGUUGGAGAUGUAAGGAAAAGGAAGGAACAUUUUAUCAUAUGUGGUGGAAAUGCAAAUGCAUUAAAAAUAUUGGGAAAUGAUAUACAAUGAAUUAAAAAAAAUGUUUAAAAUGAAUUUUGUCAAACACCCUGAAGCCUUUUUGUUAGGUAUCUCAAAUCAAGAGCUACCAAAAGAAAAAUGGACAUUAUUUAUGUAUGCUACAACAGCGGCAAGAAUCUUGCACAAUAUUGGAAGAUGGAAGAAAUACUAUCAAAGGAACAAUGGCAAGAAAAACUGAUGAACUACGCAGAAUUGACUAAGCUAACAGACAAACUAUGAGAGGACAAAAAGGACUUAAAAAGAGUCUGGGAAGCAUUUACAGUUUAUUUGCAGAAACAACAGAAUGGACUGGAUUCACUGGCAGGAUUUGAAUAAACUUUCACAACUUCAUUUGAGUAACAGGUAUUUUAGAGAAAUGAUAAGGGAUUUUAUUUUUGUGUAGGAAAAGCAGAAUACGAUAAAUAAAACUAAAUAACUCAGAAGAGGGGGAGUUGAGGGAAGUCCAGAGGAGGGGAGGGAGAAUAAUCGUAAAUAAUAUGAUGAAUGAGAUUUGUAUCAUUAAUUGUUAUAAAAUUCAAUAAUUUUUUUUUAAAAAAGAAAGCAGUCUUUUGCUGUCAAGAAAAUAAACCUUUGCAAUAUGCCAGAGUAAUAUAUUUCACAAGGCAAAUAUCCUACAGGAGCAUAACUACUUGGGUGUUACAUAUGUUUUCAGUUUGUGCUGAGCCAGCCAAGCUAAAGAAAUAGUCCUAAUUGGAAAAUGCAUUUUGUUUACUUAAAGCAACUGCAGUAGCCAGACUCAGAUUAUUUAAAUGGUUCCUAUCAAUAAAUUUCCACACCUUU
This is a long non-coding RNA of Podarcis raffonei (Aeolian wall lizard), 1807 nucleotides long. RefSeq lists it as uncharacterized. The transcript is spliced from 2 exons. Lineage: Eukaryota; Metazoa; Chordata; Lepidosauria; Squamata; Lacertidae. The record is from RefSeq and is a predicted model, not a curated record.